GACGUCCAGCGCUCAGAAGGCGUU
Molecule: non-coding RNA, 24 nt
Filed under: Arabidopsis thaliana (thale cress)
Lineage: Eukaryota; Viridiplantae; Streptophyta; Magnoliopsida; Brassicales; Brassicaceae
Source: RNAcentral